AUUAGGUUUUGGGGCUAGGAUUAGGUUUAAGGUUUUUGGCGUUAGGGUUAAAAUCACUGUCCAAUAUUUUUUAAGGAACAUGUUUCAGACCUUUUGGAGUUAGGUAGACCAAAAAAAAGAAAAAAGAAAAAAAAAUAUUUGGGCUUUUCGGGCUUCCUGAAGGUAUUAGGUUUUGGGGCUAGGGAAAGGUUUAAGGUUUUUGGCGUUAGGGUUAAAAUCACUGUCCAAAACCUUUUAAGGAACAAGAUUCAGACCUUUUGGAGUUGGUUACACCAAAAAAAAUGUAAAAUGAAAAAAAAUAUAUUUGGGGUGUUCGGGCUUCCUGAAGGUAAUACCCUUCAGGUUUAAGUAUUAGGUUAUGGGGCUAGGAUUAGGUUUAAGGUUUUUGGCGUAAGGGUUAAAAUCACUGUCCAAUAUUUUUUAAGGAACAUGUUUCAGACCUUUUGGAGCUAGUUUGACCAAAAAAAAAAAAGAAAAAGAAAAAAUAUAUAUUUGGGGUGUUCGGGCUUCCUGAAGGUAAUACCCGGGUAUUAGGUUAUGGGGCUAGGUUAAGGUUUAAGGUUUUUGGCGUGAGGGUUAAAAUCACUGUCCAAAACCUUUGUAGGAAGUCUUUUCCAACCUUUUGGAGUUAGUUAGACAAAAAAAAAAAGAUAAACACCCCAAAAAAUAUUUGGGGUGUUCGGGCUUCCUGAAGGUAAUACCCGGGUAUUAGGUUAUGGGGCUAGGGUAAGGUUUAAGGUUUUUGGCGUAAGGGUUAAAAUCACUGUCCAAAACCUUUUUAGGAACAUGUUUCAGACCUUUUAGAGUUGGUUACACCAAAAAAAAUGUAAAAUGAAAAAAAAUUUUUUUUGGGUGUUCGGGCUUCCUGAAGGUAAUACUAGGUUUCUGGGCUAGGGUAAUGUUUAAGGUUUUUGGCGUUAGGGUUAAAAUCAAUGUCCAAAACCUUUGUAGGAACUCUUCCAACCUUUGAGAGCAAGUUAGACCAAAACAAAAAGAAAAAUAAAAAAUAUAUAUUUGGGCUUUUCGGGCUUCCUGAAGGUAAUAGGUUAUGGGGCUAGGGUAAGGUUUAAGGUUUUUCGGCGUGAGGGUAAAAAUCACUGUCCAAAACCUUUGUAGGAACACUUUACCAUCCUUUUGGAAUUAGUUAGACCAAAAAAAAAACGAAAAAUGAAAAAACAAUAUUUGGGCUUUUCGGGCUUCCUGAAGGUAAUACCCGGGUAUUAGGUUAUGGGGCUAGGGUAAGGUUUAAGGUUUUUGGCGUUAGGGUUAAAAUAACUGUCCAAUAUUUUUUAAGGAACAUGUUUCAGACCUUUGGGAGUUAGUUAGACAAAAAAAAAGAAAAAGAAAAAAAAAUAUUUGGGGUGUUCGGGUUUCCUGAAGGUAAUACCCGGGUAUUAGGUUAUGGGGCUAGGGUAAGGUUUAAGGUUUUUGGCGUUAGAGUUAAAAUCAGUGUCCAAAACCUUUUUAGGAACAUGUUUAAGACCUUUUGGAGUUGGUUACACCAAAAAAAAAUGUAAAAUGAAAAAAAAAAAUAUUUGGGGUGUUCGGGCUUCCUGAAGGUAAUACCCGGGUAUUAGGUUAUGGUGCUAGGGUAAGGUUUAAGGUUUUUGGCGUGAGGGUUAAAAUCACUGUCCAAAACCUUUGUAGGACCUCUUUUCCAACCUUUUGGUGUAAGUUAGACCAAAAAAAAAAACGAAAAUUGAAAAACAAAUAUUUGGGGUUUUUGGGCUUCCUGAAGGUAAUACCCGGGUAUUAGGUUAUGGGGCUUUGGAAAGGUUUAAGGUUUUUGGCGUGAGGGUUAAAAUCAGUGUUCAAAACCUUUGUAGGGAGUCUUUUCCAACCUUUUGGAGUUAGUUAGACCAAUAAAAAAAUGAAAAAUGAAAAAAAAAUAUUUGGGGUUUUCGGGCUUCCUGAAGGUAAUACCCGGGUAUUAGGUUUUGGGGCUAGGAUUAGGUUUAAGGUUUUUGGCGUUAGGGUUAAAAUCACUGUCCAAUAUUUUUUAAGGAACAUGUUUCAGACCUUUUGGAGUUAGUUAGACCAAAAAAAAAGAAAAAAGAAAAAAAAAAUAUUUGGGGUUUUCGGGCUUCCUGAAGGUAUUAGGUUUUGGGGCUAGGUUAAGGUUUAAGGUUUUUGGCGUUAGGGUUAAAAUCACUGUCCAAAACCUUUGUAGGAACUCUUUUCCAACCUUUUGGAGUUAGUUAGACAAAAAAAAAAAAGAUAAAUGAAAAAAAAAUAUUUGGGGUGUUCGGGCUUCCUGAAGGUAAUACCCGGGUAUUAGGUUAUGGGGCUAGGGUAAGGUUUAAGGUUUUUGGCGUCAGGGUUAAAAUCACUGUCCAAAACCUUUUUAGGAACAUGUUUCAGACCUUUUGGAGUUGGUAACACCAAAAAAAAAUGUAAAAUGAAAAAAAAAAAAUAUUUGGGUUGUUCAAGCUUCCUGAAGGUAAUACCCGGGUAUUAGGUUAUGGGGCUAGGGUAAGGUUUAAGGUUUUUGGCGUGAGGGUUAAAAUCAGUGUUCAAAACCUUUGUAGGGAGUCUUUUCCAACCUUUUGGAGUUAGUUAGACCAAUAAAAAAAUGAAAAAUGAAAAAAAAAUAUUUGGGGUGUUCGGGCUUCCUGAAGGUAAUACCCUUCAGGUUUAAGUAUUAGGUUAUGGGGCUAGGAUUAGGUUUAAGGUUUUUGGCGUUAGGGUUAAAAUCACUGUCCAAUAUUUUUUAAGGAACAUGUUUCAGACCUUUUGGAGUUAGGUAGACCAAAAAAAAGAAAAAAGAAAAAAAAAUAUUUGGGCUUUUCGGGCUUCCUGAAGGUAUUAGGUUUUGAGGCUAGGGAAAGGUUUAAGGUUUUUGGCGUUAGGGUUAAAAUCACUGUCCAAAACCUUUUAAGGAACAAGAUUCAGACCUUUUGGAGUUGGUUACACCAAAAAAAAUGUAAAAUGAAAAAAAAUAUAUUUGGGGUGUUCGGGCUUCCUGAAGGUAAUACCCUUCAGGUUUAAGUAUUAGGUUAUGGGGCUAGGAUUAGGUUUAAGGUUUUUGGCGUAAGGGUUAAAAUCACUGUCCAAUAUUUUUUAAGGAACAUGUUUCAGACCUUUUGGAGCUAGUUUGACCAAAAAAAAAAAGAAAAAGAAAAAAUAUAUAUUUGGGGUGUUCGGGCUUCCUGAAGGUAAUACCCGGGUAUUAGGUUAUGGGGCUAGGGUAAGGUUUAAGGUUUUUGGCGUGAGGGUUAAAAUCACUGUCCAAAACCUUUGUAGGAAGUCUUUUCCAACCUUUUGGAGUUAGUUAGACAAAAAAAAAAAGAUAAACACCCCAAAAAAUAUUUGGGGUGUUCGGGCUUCCUGAAGGUAAUACCCGGGUAUUAGGUUAUGGGGCUAGGGUAAGGUUUAAGGUUUUUGGCGUAAGGGUUAAAAUCACUGUCCAAAACCUUUUUAGGAACAUGUUUCAGACCUUUUAGAGUUGGUUACACCAAAAAAAAUGUAAAAUGAAAAAAAAUUUUUUUUGGGUGUUCGGGCUUCCUGAAGGUAAUACUAGGUUUCUGGGCUAGGGUAAUGUUUAAGGUUUUUGGCGUUAGGGUUAAAAUCAAUGUCCAAAACCUUUGUAGGAACUCUUCCAACCUUUGAGAGCAAGUUAGACCAAAACAAAAAGAAAAAUAAAAAAUAUAUAUUUGGGCUUUUCGGGCUUCCUGAAGGUAAUAGGUUAUGGGGCUAGGGUAAGGUUUAAGGUUUUUCGGCGUGAGGGUAAAAAUCACUGUCCAAAACCUUUGUAGGAACACUUUACCAUCCUUUUGGAAUUAGUUAGACCAAAAAAAAAACGAAAAAUGAAAAAACAAUAUUUGGGCUUUUCGGGCUUCCUGAAGGUAAUACCCGGGUAUUAGGUUAUGGGGCUAGGGUAAGGUUUAAGGUUUUUGGCGUUAGGGUUAAAAUAACUGUCCAAUAUUUUUUAAGGAACAUGUUUCAGACCUUUGGGAGUUAGUUAGACAAAAAAAAAGAAAAAGAAAAAAAAAUAUUUGGGGUGUUCGGGUUUCCUGAAGGUAAUACCCGGGUAUUAGGUUAUGGGGCUAGGGUAAGGUUUAAGGUUUUUGGCGUUAGAGUUAAAAUCAGUGUCCAAAACCUUUUUAGGAACAUGUUUAAGACCUUUUGGAGUUGGUUACACCAAAAAAAAAUGUAAAAUGAAAAAAAAAAUAUUUGGGGUGUUCGGGCUUCCUGAAGGUAAUACCCUUCAGGUUUAAGUAUUAGGUUAUGGGGCUAGGAUUAGGUUUAAUGUUUUUGGCGUUAGGGUUAAAAUCACUGUCCAAUAUUUUUAAGGAACAUGUUUCAGACUUUUUGGAGCUAGUUUGACAAAAAAAAAAGAAAAAAAAAUGUAUAAAUUUGGGGUGUUCGAGCUUCCUGAAGGUAAUAAUUUGUAUUACCUUUGUAGGAAGUCUUUUCCAACCUUUUGGAGUUAGUCUUUUGUAGGAAGUCUUUUCCAACCUUUUGGAGUUAGUUAGACAAAAAAAAAAAGAUAAAUGAAAAAAAAAUAUUUGGGGUGUUCGGGCUUCCUGAAGGUAAUACCCGGGUAUUAGGUUAUGGGGCUAGGGUAAGGUUUAAGGUUUUUGGCGUGAGGGUUAAAAUCACUGUCCAAAACCUUUGUAGGACCUCUUUUCAAACCUUUUGGUGUUAGUUAGACCAAUAAAAAAAUGAAAAAUGAAAAAAAAAAAUUUGGGGUGUUCGGGCUUCCUGAAGGUAAUACCCGGGUAUUAGGUUUUGGGGCUAGGAUUAGGUUUAAGGUUUUUGGCGUUAGGGUUAAAAUCACUGUCCAAUAUUUUUUAAGGAACAUGUUUCAGACCUUUUGGAGUUAGUUAGACCAAAAAAAAUGUAAAAUGAAAAAAAAAUAUUUGGGGUUUUCGGGCUUCCUGAAGGUAUUAGGUUUUGGGGCUAGGGUAAGGUUUAAGGUUUUUGGCGUUAGGGUUAAAAUCACUGUCCAAAACCUUUUAAGGAACAAGAUUCAGACCUUUUGGAGUUGGUUACACCAAAAAAAAUGUAAAAUGACAAAAAAAAUAUUUGGGGUGUUCGGGCUUCCUGAAGGUAAUACCCUUCAGGUUUAAGUAUUAGGUUAUGGGGCUAGGAUUAGGUUUAAGGUUUUUGGCGUAAGGGUUAAAAUCACUGUCCAAUAUUUUUUAAGGAACAUGUUUCAGACCUUUUGGAGUUAGUUAGACAAAAAAAAAAAGAUAAAUGAAAAAAUAUAUAUUUGGGGUGUUCGGGCUUCCUGAAGGUAAUACCGGGUAUUAGGUUAUGGGGCUAGGUUAAGGUUUAAGGUUUUUGGCGUGAGGGUUAAAAUCACUGUCCAAAACCUUUGUAGGAAGUCUUUUCCAACCUUUUGGAGUUAGUUAGACAAAAAAAAAAAGAUAAAUGAAAAAAAAAUAUUUGGGGUUUUUUGGCUUCCGGAAGGUAAAACCCAGGUAUUAGGUUAUGGGGCUUUGGAAAGGUUUAAGGUUUUUGGCGUGAGAGUUAAAAUCACUGUCCAAAACCUUUGUAGGAAGUCUUUUCCAACCUUUUGGAGUUAGUUAGACCAAUAAAAAAAUGAAAAAUGAAAAAAAAAAAUUUGGGGUGUUCGGGCUUCCUGAAGGUAAUACCCGGGUAUUAGGUUUUGGGACUAGGAUUAGGUUUAAGGUUUUUGGCGUUAGGGUUAAAAUCACUGUCCAAUAUUUUUUAAGGAACAUGUUUCAGACCUUUUGGAGUUAGUUAGACCAAAAAAAAGAAAAAAGAAAAAAAAAUAUUUGGGGUUUUCGGGCUUCCUGAAGGUAUUAGGUUUUGGGGCUAGGGUAAGGUUUAAGGUUUUUGGCGUUAGGGUUAAAAUCACUGUCCAAAACCUUUUAAGGAACAUGUUUAUGACCUUUUGGAGUUGGUUACACCAAAAAAAAUGUAAAAAUAAAAAAUAUAUAUUUGGGGUGUUCGGGCUUCCUGAAGGUAAUACCCGGGUAUUAGGUUAUGGGGCUAGGGUAAGGUUUAAGGUUUUUCGGUGUGAGGGUAAAAAUCACUGUCCAAAACCUUUGAGGAACUCUUUUCCAACCUUUGGGAAUUAGUUAGACAAAAAAAAAUAGAUAAAUGAAAAAAAAAAUAUUUGGGGUGUUCAAGCUUCCUGAAGGUAAUACCCGGGUAUUAGGUUUUGGGGCUAGGGUAAGGUUUAAGGUUUUUGGCGUUAGGGUUAAAAUCACUGUCCAAAACCUUUUAAGGAACAAGAUUCAGACCUUUUGGAGUUGGUUACACCAAAAAAAAUGUAAAAUGAAAAAAAAAAUAUUUGGGGUGUUCGGGCUUCCUGAAGGUAAUACCCUUCAGGUUUAAGUAUUAGGUUAUGGGGCUAGGAUUAGGUUUAAGGUUUUUGGCGUAAGGGUUAAAAUCACUGUCCAAUAUUUUUUCAGGAACAUGUUUCAGACCUUUGGGAGUUAGUUAGACAAAAAAAAAAGAAAAAGAAAAAAAAAUAUUUGGGGUGUUCGGGCUUCCUGAAGGUAAUACCCGGGUAUUAGGUUAUGGGGCUAGGGUAAGGUUUAAGGUUUUUGGCGUUAGAGUUAAAAUCACUGUCCAAAACCUUUUUAGGAACAUGUUUAAGACCUUUUGGAGUUGGUUACACCAAAAAAAAAUGUAAAAUGAAAAAAAAAUAUAUUUGGGGUGUUCAAGCUUCCUGAAGGUAAUACCCGGGUAUUAGGUUUUGGGGCUAGGGUAAGGUUUAAGGUUUUUGGUGGUAGGGUUAAAAUCACUGUCCAAAACCUUUGUAGGAACUCUUUUCCAACCUUUUGGAGUUAGUUAGACCAAAAAAAACAAAAAAUAUAUAUAUAUAUAUUUGGGGUCUUCGGGCUUCCUGAAGGAAAUACCCAGGUAUUAGGUUAUGGGGCUAUAGUAAGGUUAAAGGUUUUUGGCGUUAGGGUUAAAAUCACUGUCCAAAACCUUUGUAGGAACUAUUUUCCAACCUUUUGGAGUUAGUUAGACCAAAAAAAAAACAAAAAAUGAAAAAAAAAAAAUUGGGGUGUUCAAGCUUCCUGAAGGUAAUACCGGGUAUUAGGUUAUGGGGCUAGGGUAAGGUUUAAGGUUUUUGGUGUUAGGGUUAAAAUCACCGUCCAAAACCUUUGUAGGAACUCUUUUCCGACCUUUUGGAGUUAGUUAGACCAAAAAAAAAGAAAAAAGAAAAAUAUAUAUUUGGGGUCUUCGGGCUUCCUGAAGGAAAUACCCGGGUAUGAGGUUAUGGGGCUAGGGUAAGGUUUAAGGUUUUUGGCGUUAGGGUUAAAAUCACUGUCCAAAACCUUUGUAGGAACUCUUUUCCAACCUUUUGGAGUUAGUUAGACCACAAAAAAAAGAAAAAUGAAAAAAAAAUAUUUGGGGUUUUUGGGCUUCCUGAAGGUAAUACCCGGGUUUUAGGUCAUGGGGCUAGGGUAAGGUUUAAGGUUUUUGGCGUUAGGGUUAAAAUCACUGUCCAAAACCUUUUUAGGAACAUGUUUAAGACCUUUUGGAGUUGGUUACACCAAAAAAAAUGUAAAAUGAAAAAAAAUAUAUUUGGGGUGUUCGGGCUUCCUGAAGGUAAUACCCGGGUAUUAGGUUUUGGGGCUAGGGUAAGGUUUAAGGUUUUUGGUGGUAGGGUUAAAAUCACUGUCCAAAACCUUUGUAGGAACUCUUUUCCAACCUUUUGGAGUUAGUUAGACCAAAAAAAAACAAAAAAUAUAUAUAUAUAUAUUUGGGGUCUUCGGGCUUCCUGAAGGAAAUACCCGGGUAUGAGGUUAUGGGGCUAGGGUAAGGUUUAAGGUUUUUGGCGUUAGGGUUAAAAUCACUGUCCAAAACCUUUGUAGGAACUAUUUUCCAACCUUUUGGAGUUAGUUAGACCAAAAAAAAAACGAAAAAUGAAAAAAAAAAUAUUUGGGGUGUUCAAGCUUCCUGAAGGUAAUACCCGGGUAUUAGGUUAUGGGGCUAGGGUAAGGUUUAAGGUUUUUGGCGUUAGGGUUAAAAUCACUGUCCAAAACCUUUGUAGGAACUCUUUUCCGACCUUUUGGAGUUAGUUAGACCAAAAAAAAAGAAAAAAGAAAAAAAUAUAUUUGGGGUCUUCGGGCUUCCUGAAGGAAAUACCCGGGUAUGAGGUUAUGGGGCUAGGGUAAGGUUUAAGGUUUUUGGCGUUAGGGUUAAAAUCACUGUCCAAAACCUUUGUAGGAACUCUUUUCCAACCUUUUGGAGUUAGUUAGACCACAAAAAAAGAAAAAUGAAAAAAAAAUAUUUGGGGUUUUUGGGCUUCCUGAAGGUAAUACCCGGGUAUUAGGUCAUGGGGCUAGGGUAAGGUUUAAGGUUUUUGGCGUUAGAGUUAAAAUCAGUGUCCAAAACCUUUUUAGGAACAUGUUUAAGACCUUUUGGAGUUGGUUACACCAAAAAAAAUGUAAAAUGAAAAAAAAAAAUAUUUGGGGUGUUCAGGCUUCCUGAAGGUAAUACCCGGGUAUUAGGUUAUGGGGCUAUAGUAAGGUUAAAGGUUUUUGGCGUUAGGGUUAAAAUCACUGUCCAAAACCUUUUAGGAACAUGUUUCAGACCUUUUGGAGUUGGUAACACCAAAAAAAAAUGUAAAAUGAAAAAAAAUAUAUUUGGGGUGUUCGGGCUUCCUGAAGGUAAUACCCGGGUAUUAGGUUUGGGGCUAGGGUAAGGUUUAAGGUUUUUGGCGUUAGGGUUAAAAUCACUGUCCAAAACCUUUGUAGGAACUCUUUUCCGACCUUUUGGAGUUAGUUAGACCAAAAAAAAAAAAAAAGAAAAAAAUAUAUUUGGGGUGUUCGGGCUUCCUGAAGGUAAUACCCGGGUAUUAGGUUAUGGGGCUAGGGUAAGGUUUAAGGUUUUUGGCGUUAGGGUUAAAAUCACUGUCCAAAACCUUUGUAGGAACUCUUUUCCAACCUUUUGGAGUUAGUUAGACCAAAAAAAAAACGAAAAAUGAAAAAAAAAUAUUUGGGGUUUUCGGGCUUCCUGAAGGUAAUACCCGGGUAUUAGGUUAUGGGGCUAGGGUAAGGUUUAAGGUUUUUGGCGUUAGGGUUAAAAUCACUGUCCAAAACCUUUUUAGGAACAUGUUUAAGACCUUUUGGAGUUGGUUACACCAAAAAAAAUGUAAAAAGAAAAAAUAUAUAUUUGGGGUGUUCGGGCUUCCUGAAGGUAAUACCCGGGUAUUAGGUUUUGGGGCUAGGGUUAGGUUUAAGGUUUUUGGCGUUAGGGUUAAAAUAACUGUCCAAUAUUUUUUUAAGGAACAUGUUUCAGACCUUUUGGAGUUAGUUAGACAAAAAAAAGAAAAAGAAAAAAAAAAUAUUUGGGGUGUUCGGGUUUCCUGAAGGAAUUAGGUUUUGGGGCUAGGGUAAGGUUUAAGGUUUUUGGCGUUAGGGUUAAAAUCACUGUCCAAAACCUUUGUAGGAACAUGUUUCAAACCUUUUGGUGUUAGUUAGACAAAAAAAAAAAUGAAAUAUGAAAAAAAAAAUUUGGGGUGUUCGGGCUUCCUGAAGGUAAUACCCGGGUAUUAGGUUUUGGGGCUAGGAUUAGGUUUAAGGUUUUUGGUGUUAGGGUUAAAAUCACUGUCCAAAACCUUUUAAGGAACAUGUUUCAGACCUUUUGGAGUUAGUUAGACCAAAAAAAAAUGUAAAAUGAAAAAAAAAUAUUUGGGGUGUUCGGGCUUCCUGAAGGUAAUACCGGGUAUUAGGUUUUGGGGCUAGGGUAAGGUUUAAGGUUUUUGGCGUUAGGGUUAAAAUCACUGUCCAAAACCUUUUAAGGAACAUGUUUAUGACCUUUUGGAGUUGGUUACACCAAAAAAAAUGUAAAAUGAAAAAAAAAUAUUUGGGGUGUUCGGGCUUCCUGAAGGUAAUACCCGGGUAUUAGGUUAUGGGGCUAGGAUAAGGUUUAAGGUUUUUGGCGUAAGGGUUAAAAUCACUGUCCAAUAUUUUUUAAGGAACAUGUUUCAGACCUUUUGGAGUUAGUUAGACAAAAAAAAAAAGAUAAAUGAAAAAAUAUAUAUUCGGGGUCUUCGGGCUUCCUGAAGGUAAUACCUGGGCUAUAGGUUAUGGGGCUAGGGUAAGGUUUAAGGUUUUUGGCGUGAGGGUUAAAAUCACUGUCCAAAACCUUUGUAGGAAGUCUUUGCCAACCUUUUGGAGUUAGUUAGACAAAAAAAAAAAGAUAAAUGAAAAGAAAAUAUUUGGGGUUUUUUGGCUUCCGGAAGGUAAAACCGGGUAUUAGGUUAUGGGGCUUUGGAAAGGUUUAAGGUUUUUGGCGUGAGAGUUAAAAUCACUGUCCAAAACCUUUGUAGGAAGUCUUUUCCAACCUUUUGGAGUUAGUUAGACCAAUAAAAAAAUGAAAAAUGAAAAAAAAAAAUUUGGGGUGUUCGGGCUUCCUGAAGGUAAUAAUAGGUAAUAAUAGUAUUAGGUUUUGGGACUAGGAUUAGGUUUAAGGUUUUUGGCGUUAGGGUUAAAAUCACUGUCCAAUAUUUUUUAAGGAACAUGUUUCAGACCUUUUGGAGUUAGUUAGACCAAAAAAAAGAAAAAAGAAAAAAAAAUAUUUGGGGUUUUCGGGCUUCCUGAAGGUAAUACCCGGGUAUUAGGUUUUGGGGCUAGGUUAAGGUUUAAGGUUUUUGGCGUUAGGGUUAAAAUCACUGUCCAAAACCUUUUAAGGAACAUGUUUCAGACCUUUGGGAGUUGGUUACACCAAAAAAAAAUGAAAAAUGAAAAAAAAUAUAUUUGGGGUGUUCGGGCUUCCUGAAGGUAAUACCCGGGUAUUAGGUUAUGGGGCUAGGGUAAGGUUUAAGGUUUUUGGUGUGAGGGUUAAAAUCACUGUCCAAAACCUUUGUAGGAACAUGUUUCAGACCUUUUGGAGUUGGUUACACCAAAAAAAAUGUAAAAUGAAAAAAAAAAUAUUUGGGGUGUUCGGGCUUCCUGAAGGUAUUACCCGGGUAUUAGGUUUUGGGGCUAGGGUAAGGUUUAAGGUUUUUGGUGUUAGGGUUAAAAUCACUGUCCAAAACCUUUGUAGGAACUCUUUUCAGACCUUUUGGAGUUAGUUAGACCAAAAAAAAAUGAAAAAUGAAAAAAAAUAUAUUUGGGGUGUUCGGGCUUCCUGAAGGUAAUACCCGGGUAUUAGGUUAUGGGGCUAGGGUAAGGUUUAAGGUUUUUGGCGUUAGGGUUAAAAUCACUGUCCAAAACCUUUGUAGGAACUCUUUUCCAACCUUUUGGAGUUAGUUAGACCAAAAAAACGAAAAAUGAAAAAAAAAAUAUUUGGGGUUUUUGGGCUUCCUGAAGGUAAUACCCGGGUAUUAGGUUAUGGGGCUAGGGUAAGGUUUAAGGUUUUUGGCGUUAGGGUUAAAAUCACUGUCCAAAACCUUUUUAGGAACAUGUUUAAGACCUUUUGGAGUUGGUUACACCAAAAAAAAUGUAAAAAGAAAAAAUAUAUAUUUGGGGUGUUCGGGCUUCCUGAAGGUAAUACCCGGGUAUUAGGUUAUGGGGCUAGGGUAAGGUUUAAGGUUUUUGGCGUUAGGGUUAAAAUCACUGUCCAAAACCUUUUUAGGAACAUGUUUCAGACCUUUGGGAGUUAGUUAGACAAAAAAAAAAGAAAAAGAAAAAAAAAAUAUUUGGGGUGUUCGGGUUUCCUGAAGGUAAUACCCGGGUAUUAGGUUUUGGGGCUAGGGUAAGGUUUAAGGUUUUUGGCGUUAGGGUUAAAAUCACUGUCCAAAACCUUUUAAGGAACAAGAUUCAGACCUUUUGGAGUUGGUUACACCAAAAAAAAUUUAACAUGACAAAAAAAAUAUUUGGGGUGUUCGGGCUUCCUGAAGGUAAUACCCGGGUAUUAGGUUAUGGGGCUAGGGUAAGGUUUAAGGUUUUUGGCGUAAGGGUUAAAAUCACUGUCCAAAAUUUUUUAGGAACAUGUUUCAGACCUUUUGGAGUUAGUUAGACAAAAAAAAAAGAAAAAUGAAAAAAAAUAUUUGGGGUGUUCGGGCUUCCUGAAGGUAAUACCCGGGUAUUAGGUUAUGGGGCUAGGGUAAGGUUUAAGGUUUUUGGCGUUAGAGUUAAAAUCAGUGUCCAAAACCUUUUUAGGAACAUGUUUCAGACCUUUUGGAGUUGGUUACACCAAAAAAAAUGUAAAAUGAAAAAAAAUAUAUUUGGGGUGUUCGGGCUUCCUGAAGGUAAUACCCGGGUAUUAGGUUUUGGGGCUAGGGUAAGGUUUAAGGUUUUUGGCGGUAGGGUUAAAAUCACUGUCCAAAACCUUUGUAGGAACUCUUUUCCAACCUUUUGGAGUUAGUUAGACCAAAAAAAAAAGAUAAAUGAAAAAAAAAAUAUUUGGGGUCUUCGGGUUUCCUGAAGGAAUUAGGUUUUGGGGCUAGGGUAAGGUUUAAGGUUUUUGGCGUUAGGGUUAAAAUCACUGUCCAAAACCUUUUAAGGAACAAGAUUCAGACCUUUUGGAGUUGGUUACACCAAAAAAAAUGUAAAAUGACAAAAAAAAUAUUUGGGGUGUUCAGGCUUCCUGAAGGUAAUACCCUUCAGGUUUCAGUAUUAGGUUAUGGGGCUAGGAUUAGGUUUAAGGUUUUUGGCAUAAGGGUUAAAAUCACUGUCCAAUAUUUUUUCAGGAACAUGUUUCAGACCUUUGGGAGUUAGUUAGACCAAAAAAAACAAAAUAUAUAUAUAUAUAUAUUUGGGGUCUUAGGGCUUCCUGAAGGAAAUACCCAGGUAUAGGUUAUGGGGCUAUAGUAAGGUUAAAGGUUUUUGGCGUAAGGGUUAAAAUCACUGUCCAAAACCUUUGUAGGAACUCUUUUCCAACCUUUUGGAGUUAGUUAGACCACAAAAAAAAGAAAAAUGAAAAAAAAAUAUUUGGGGUUUUUGGGCUUCCUGAAGGUAAUACCCGGGUAUUAGGUUAUGGGGCUAGGGUAAGGUUUAAGGUUUUUGGCGUUAGGUUUAAAAUCACUGUCCAAAACCUUUUUAGGAACAUGUUUAAGACCUUUUGGAGUUGGUUACAGCAAAAAAAAUGUAAAAAGAAAAAAUAUAUAUUUGGGGUGUUCGGGCUUCCUGAAGGUAAUACCCGGGUAUUAGGUUUCGGGGCAAGGGUUAGGUUUAAGGUUUUUGGCGUUAGGGUUAAAAUAACUGUCCAAUAUUUUUUUAAGGAACAUGUUUCAGACCUUUGGGAGUUAGUUAGACAAAAAAAAGAAAAAGAAAAAAAAUAUAUUUGGGGUGUUCGGGUUUCCUGAAGGUAAUACCCGGGUAUUAGGUUAUGGGGCUAGGGUAAGGUUUAAGGUUUUUGGCGUUAGAGUAAAAUGAAAAAAAAAUAUAUUUGGGGUCUUCGGGCUUCCUGAAGGUAAUACCCGGGUAUUAGGUUUUGGGGCUAGGGUAAGGUUUAAGGUUUUUGGAGUUAGGGUUAAAAUCACUGUCCAAAACCUUUGUAGGAACUCUUUUCCGACCUUUUGGAGUUAGUUAGACCAAAAAAAAAGAAAAAAGAAAAAAAUAUAUUUGGGGUCUUCGGGCUUCCUGAAGGAAAUACCCGGGUAUGAGGUUAUGGGGCUAGGGUAAGGUUUAAGGUUUUUGGCGUUAGGGUUAAAAUCACUGUCCAAAACCUUUGUAGGAACUCUUUUCCAACCUUUUGGAGUUAGUUAGACCAAAAAAAAAGAAAAAAGAAAAAAAUAUAUUUGGGGUCUUCGGGCUUCCUGAAGGUAAUACCCGGGUAUUAGGUUAUGGGGCUAGGGUAAGGUUUAAGGUUUUUGGCGUUAGGGUUAAAAUCACUGUCCAAAACCUUUGUAGGAACUCUUUUCCAACCUUUUGGAGUUAGUUAGACCAAAAAAAAACGAAAAAUGAAAAAAAAAUAUUUGGGGUUUUUGGGCUUCCUGAAGGUAAUACCCGGGUAUUAGGUUAUGGGGCUAGGGUAAGGUUUAAGGUUUUUGGCGUUAGGUUUAAAAUCACUGUCCAAAACCUUUUUAGGAACAUGUUUAAGACCUUUUGGAGUUGGUUACACCAAAAAAAAUGUAAAAAGAAAAAAUAUAUAUUUGGGGUGUUCGGGCUUCCUGAAGGUAAUACCCGGGUAUUAGGUUAUGGGGCUAGGUUAAGGUUUAAGGUUUUUGGCGUGAGGGUUAAAAUCACUGUCCAAAACCUUUGUAGGAAGUCUUUUCCAACCUUUUGGAGUUAGUUAGACAAAAAAAAAAAGAAAAAUGAAAAAAAAAUAUUUGGGGUGUUCGGGCUUCCUGAAGGUAAUACCCGGGUAUUAGGUUAUGGGGCUAGGGUAAGGUUUAAGGUUUUUGGCGUAAGGGUUAAAAUCACUGUCCAAAACCUUUUUAGGAACAUGUUUCAGACCUUUUGGAGUUGGUUACACCAAAAAAAAUGUAAAAUGAAAAAAAAUUUUUUUGGGGUGUUCGGGCUUCCUGAAGGUAAUACUAGGUUUCUGGGCUAGGGUAAGGUUUAAGGUUUUUGGCGUUAGGGUUAAAAUCAAUGUCCAAAACCUUUGUAGGAACUCUUUUCCAACCUUUGAGAGCAAGUUAGACCAAAACAAAAAGAAAAAUAAAAAAUAUAUAUUUGGGGUGUUCGGGCUUCCUGAAGGUAAUACCCGGGUAUUAGGUAGGGAUGCACGAUAUUUAUCGGACCGAUAAAAUAUCGGCCGAUUUGGGGGGAAAUUACGUCAUUUUUUAUCGGUCCGAUAGGUGCAUUUUUCCGAUAGAAAGAUCCGAUAUAUUAAUGAAAUUACGAGUAACAUUUGCAGGCGGAGUAGCCGCCCGUCCGAGACGCGCUGGUUACGUCAUCUAUCGCGCCUUACUCGCAGGUCCCAAGCCUGACCCCGUCACUACCUGACAGAUAAUAAAAUGUCUUCACCAGCAUGGUCGUUUCUCUCAGUGGCAGAAGAUGACAACAGCAUUGCUAUAUGCAAAACCUGUUCAGCGAGGAUUCCGAGAGGAGGAAAGAAGACGUCAAGUAUUAACACAGCGAAUCUGAUAGCUCAUCUGAAAAGUCGCCAUCGCGGCGAAGCGGUAAUAAAAGAAUAUGAGACAGCCGCCGAAGCUGCUAGCGGUACUAAAGCUAAGACAACAACACUACGGAGGAUCGAUGUCCCCAUUCAGCGGGCGUUUAAAAACUGCAAAAGCUUCUCAAGAGACAGCGA
Molecule: non-coding RNA, 15075 nt
Organism: Xyrichtys novacula (pearly razorfish)
Lineage: Eukaryota; Metazoa; Chordata; Actinopteri; Labriformes; Labridae
Source: the annotation of a GenBank genome assembly